CAGCAGCCGCGGGAAUACAGAGGGUGCGAGCGUUAAUCGGAUUUACUGGGCGUAAAGCGUGCGUAGGCGGCUUUUUAAGUCGGAUGUGAAAUCCCUGAGCUUAACUUAGGAAUUGCAUUCGAUACUGGGAAGCUAGAGUAUGGGAGAGGAUGGUAGAAUUCCAGGUGUAGCGGUGAAAUGCGUAGAGAUCUGGAGGAAUACCGAUGGCGAAGGCAGCCAUCUGGCCUAAUACUGACGCUGAGGUACGAAAGCAUGGGGAGCAAACAGGAUUAGAUACCCCGGUAGUCCCUGUCUCUUAUAC
This 301-nucleotide ribosomal RNA is filed under the name uncultured bacterium. Its description in RNAcentral is "partial 16S ribosomal RNA". It matches the Rfam family "Bacterial small subunit ribosomal RNA", at positions 509 to 807 of the family's 1533-position model. The record is from RNAcentral.